GCUUAGGUAGUAUAUCUAUUACUUUGGUCUUGUAAACCAAAAACGGAGAACCUAUUCUCCCCAAAGC
This 67-nucleotide transfer RNA is filed under the name Eospalax fontanierii cansus. RNAcentral describes it as "tRNA-Thr". The record is from RNAcentral. Lineage: Eukaryota; Metazoa; Chordata; Mammalia; Rodentia; Spalacidae.